CUCAUUUAAUGUAUAGUUUUAUUUUAUUAUUCUCCCUUUGGUUCUUUCUUACUGUAGUUUUAUAUUUAUAACGGAAAAUUACAACUUUUUCACUAGAAGAUUGGAUUCCGUUCACAGGUUAUUGUUAAAAAUACUUUUCAAGAAAUUGAAAAUGUGAUAGCCGAUAUGAACCUUUAAACAUUAACCUUUUUCAACAAUACAUUGUUUACAUUCUCUUUUGGUAUAUACGCAGCAUUCCACGUGUUUUUAACAAUAUAGAGAAUGUGCAUGAAUGAGAAGAAAAGGCAGAUCAUAGUAAUUUACAAUAAAGGUCAAUGACCUCACUUUGUGUGUAGAUCUAUAUAGUUGUUCAUGUCUGAUUAUGUUUUUCUUCCCAAGCCAUAAAGGUCUUAUCUGUGGGUUCAAUAAAGAUGGCGACUUCGUUAAAUUAAUUUUAAUUUUCUUAAAUGAAUAUUUAUUUGGAUUUUGUUAUUCUUGAUACCACGUCAAAACAACGUGUUACUUCUCUUA
Molecule: long non-coding RNA, 510 nt
Filed under: Brassica napus (rape)
Lineage: Eukaryota; Viridiplantae; Streptophyta; Magnoliopsida; Brassicales; Brassicaceae
Description: long non-coding RNA (BNAP_LNC002675)
Source: RNAcentral